CCAAUAAAAUCCGCCCGGACCCGGCCAAUCCGGUCCGGGUUUUAUACAAAUAAUACGGGUCCGGUUAUUGAAAUUUAAAACCUGGAUACUUCCGGGUCCGGUUCCGGUCAUGGCACCAAAAACCCGGAACCCGGAUCCGUGCCCAGGUUUUGAUGAGUUAAAAAAAGAAAAAGAAAGAAAAUAUAAAUAUAAUACACCCAAAAUUGAAACUUACCCUAAUUUUCUAUCCUAUUCAUAUGCAAACAUGUUGAGUGUUAGAAAAUGCAUAUUUAUAAAGGAGAAAACCGUCAUUUUACAUUUCAAGUCUUACUAACAACCCUUACUUUUAUGUAUUUAACCUUCUUGUGAUGUAAUUACGUGUGUGUUAUUUUAAUUAAGUAUUUUUUUGUAUUUUAGGGGCAUUAUAGUCAUUUCACAAUAAAGGAGAGAUCAGACGGCAAAACGGACAUCACUUUUGAACUCAGGACGGUCGAAAACCUUAGGAGGAGCAUAAAAGGAAAAAUGGCACUAUUCACAUCAUAUCAGUGGACGAAAAAUCUCGCGUACGGUGCAUGCAUCACACAGGAUUAUUGUCAACCAAACCGCGUUACUGUUCAUCCGGGUCAAACCGUGUUACUGUUCAUCCGCGUGGUCAAACCGUGGACUGUUGACUGAUGACGUGGCGCAAUCCUGAGCGUCCGAACUGUUUUUAAUCCGAUGGCCAUGAUUUACUCCAUGUAUCUAUAAAAAGGGGGCCUCUCCCCCCUAAUUUGAUAUCUCUGAAUUCAUUUUUGGGAUCCAUUUUCUGUAAUUCCUUCUCCAUCUUGUAUUUUCUUUGUAUUUUAAUAAAUUCCCAUUUUGCCCCUAGUUCAAUUAUGAGUAGCUAAUUUCCUUUCAAGCUUGGGUUGAAGGUGAAGUCUCAACAUGUGUCAUGGGCUUUAUUUGGUAAAUUUAUUUUCUUUUCCCCUCUAGUUUUUGUGGAUGAUUUGACUUAUCGUCGACAAAUAAUACUGAUCUUGUCUAGAUACCGCCUUGGUUACACCGGCUCUCUAGUAUAAGGUUAUUAUUAUUUGGCACGAUAAGCCCUUAGCACCAUAUUGAUUAGAGCGUGGUUCAUGAGGUGUGGAUUCCCCCCUCAUGAUUUAAUUGGCAUUAAUACGGAUUAUUUAGCCCAUGAUGCAUGUUGAUACGGAUCCAGAUACCCAAGUACGUUAUUUCAAUAGAUUUCUCUUCAAUUUAUUCUCGCCAUUUUAAUUCUAAUUUUAGAAUUUAUUCUCGCCAUUUUACCCCGGUGAAGUGGCGGAUAACGGUACUCCGUGACAAUCAAGUCGGUUAACUUCAGUUUCCCAUAAUAACUGAUAUUCUGAGGCGAAGGUAUGGACAGAAACGAGACUCUAGCGAAGCUUCACAAGCGAUUCCCUUCACUUCCUCAGAAUGCCCUCCUUACGAUCUAUAAAGCUCGGACUGAACGCAUGCGAUUGUUCAUGAGGAAUAACAUACCUGCAGACAUCCGUUGGUUAAUCGAGGCUAAAGUACGAUCGGCAGGUGAGUUACCUCCAAAAUUUAUUGCAUUCAUGCCUGGUUGUGGUAAAGGAAAUUAUGCAAGAAAACGACGAGCUCGAAGAAUUUCUGUUGCUUGUCACAAGUGUGCCAGAAUGAGUUGCGAUAGAAACCCAUGUUCUUUAGGAAUGGUGUCUGAUAACAGAGAAGAUAAGAUUCAAUUCAUUAGGGAUGGCUUGAAUAAGGAGUCAUUGGAUGAUAUCCUUUUGUCUCUUGAAACGCAUCCCAGUGGAUAUGUGCAAGGAGCGAUUCUCCGGUUAUGGCCAUUAUUCCAGAAAGAGCAUGCACGAUAUAGUCUCGGGAAUCUGACUAUAAACGACCCUGUUUGUCAGUUUAUAAGAAAACUGGAUGGGAAGCCGAUCCUCGACCCAUAGAGGGCGUUCAAGCCGUUUCUGGACGUAAAACCAGAGGAAGAUGUGAGCCACAGUCGCAACUACGUGUAAAUAUCCUUUUACUUUACUGUUAUUUUAUUUCAUUUCACUGUUGUUUUAUUGUUUGCAUUAUUGUCUUUAAUAAUUUUAUUACUGUUUGCUUUUUCCUUUUUACUGUUUCCUUUUUGACUCGCGAGCCACGUGCUUUACGCGUUAUUUGACACUGAUAUGUUACCUCAUUCACAGCUGUGAUCCAAUGUCACCAAGAUUCUUAAAUGUGAUUUAUCUUUUGUCAAGCACUCACAAAUUGUUUUUGAGAAGUAUCACAAUGGCAACUACUCCCAAUAGACAAUUCAAGAACAUUUGUGUGCUUUCUGGAUUUACCUAUGGCAAACAUAAAGAGUUCGUGGAGGCAGCCAUAGAUCUUGGUCGAAGCAUAGCAGCGAGAAAAUUACAUUUAGUGUAUGGAGGAGGUAACCGAGGGUUAUCAAAAAUGGUCUCAGAAGCAGCUUUUAUCAGAGGAAGUCAAGUGUUAGGCAUCAUCCCAAGAGUCCUAAAACCAUUGGGCAGUUCGUCUGACUCAUCAACUGGAGAAGAGUUAGUCGUCUCAGGUAUGCAAGAAAGAAUAACUGAAAUGCUUAAUCAUGCUGAUGCUUUUAUUUUCCUUCCAGGAGAUCUUGCAACACUAGAGGCACUUAUGACACUAGCAUCUUGGGCCCAUCUGCACAUCCACCAGAAACCCAUCGGUUUGUUAAAUGUCAAUAACUUUUAUGAUGGCUUUAUCGCAUUUCUUAACCAUGCAAUAAAAAACUAUUUCAUUCCUUCUAAUGUGAAAAAACUCUUUAUUUGUGCUCACACUGCUAAUGAGCUACUUGAUAUGUUACAAGCUUAUAAACCGGAGCCAGACCCCUGGACCUUUGUGUUGGAGCGACCAAAUAAUAAUGGUAACAGUAGCCGCAAUAAGAAGUACAAAUUAGAUUUAACUCUCCGCCUGUAAAUAUUUUCUUCUGUGUUGCACCACCCAGGUGAUGUCUUCUAAACUCUACUUCUUUCCUUUAAAACAUUGAGGACAAUGUUUCGUUCUGGUUGGGGGGAGGGAAUAGUCGACAAUUGUGGAAUCUUGGUUAAGUUUUUACUAAUUUUUUGUUGUAGAAACUAACUGUUGCUAACAUUUUAUGUUGAAGAUGGCUGAAUAUGGAGUGUAGUUACUCUAGAAACGCAUCUUCAUCGUUUUAAAAAAAAAAAAAAAAAAACAUGUUUUCUUCCUCUUUCUCCUUAAUAAAUAUGUAGUUUCAAAUUUUUGAGUCGAAGAUGGCUGAAUAUGGAGUGUAGUGCCUCUAGAAACGCAUAUUCUUAGUUUAAAAAAAAAAAAAUUCUUUUUUCUAAUUAAUUUUCUACAUCAUUUUCACAUUUCUGCAUGCAUAUUUUCCUUUCAUGUUUAGAAUAGGUUGGGGGGUAGAAUGUUGUUUAAAAAAAAAAAAUUGUGUUAUUUGUUUUAACAUUGGAUGACAUGAUUAAUUUCAAAUUUUAGUAUUUGUAUUAUCUUUGGUCUUAAGUGAUGUUACGCUAUGUUUGCUACUUUACAUGUUGAUGUCGGAGACAAAUAUGAGUUGCUUGAAGGAAUGAACAUGUCAUAAAUAAGUGCCAAGUGAGUAGUUGAGCCUAUCAUUUUCUUGGAGAGUAACCAUUUUGCCCAUUCUCUAUACAGCUUAGCAGUUUAUUAUUUUAUACACGAUCUCUAGAUUUCUUUUAAGUUAACCCUUUAAAAAAAAAAAUAUGGUAAAAUUAAAAAAAAAUUAAAAAAAAAAAGAGAAAAAAAGAAAAAUAUGUGUGUUGCUACAUUGGGAGGCCCAUCUAACUAGUAGAUAUGGAUAAUUAUUUAGAGCCCUAAAAGACGAUGGAAAGGCCAUUUUUGAUUCGUUUGAGCCUUUCUAGCCAUCCCUUUUAUUAAAUAUCCAUAGUUACCCCUUUUGAGCCUUUAAAAAAAAAAAAAAAAAAAAGAACAAAAACCUUUUCUUUGUCAACUUAUCAUCUUGACCCACUCCGAUUUGGAGUAUUACCCAAUGUCUUUUAAGUUCCAUCACCUAUUUAUGUUUGAGAAAAUGUAAAUAAUUAUGUUGUUCAGUGAAGUUAUGCCAAAUAAAAGCAAAAAAAAAAAAAACAAAAACAAAAACAAAAGUUGUUGUUUCAAAAGAAUAAAAAUAACAAUAAUAGGUGAAAUCCACCUUGCAAGUUCCAAAAAAAAAAAAAAAAAAUUCUGCAUUUUUCUCAAACAUACACUUUGUUUUCCUUAUUUCCUUUCUUUGUUAGCCAUAUCCCUAGCCUACGUUACGUCCUAAUAAAAGUCCUUCUUGAUUUUAGGGAACUAUAGUUUGAAGUAGAAGCUAGUUAUAUGGGCUAAAAAGAUGUAGUGAUGCAUAAUAAAAAAAAAAAAAGAUAAAUAAAGUGGGUUGACUAACAUUUUAUUUGACUUGAGAUCGUAUUAUUUCUAAGCUGAGGGCAUAUUUAUUUCAUCUUGGUGAGAGCAUGUGAUAUCAUUUCUUUAUUAUUUUCUCUCUCAAUUACCAUUCAUUGGAGUGACUAUGUUUAUUGGGUUUUAAUUUCUUUGUGAGAGUGUCACUACUUCCAGUGAGAUUUUGGGGUUUGACAUGUCAUUCUUGAAAGUAGCUAUAACAAAGUCUACUGGGCUAAUUCAUGUGGAUGGUUGAUGUGGGUGUGAUGUUGCUUUAGACUGGAGAUAAUGCUUAUACUUUUAUUUGAUUGCUAUCAUUAAUCUGAUUGAAUAAACACGAGUGUUUCUAAAAAAAAAAAAAAAAAAAAAUCAUUUUGAAUUUGAAUUUUGUUUUCGCUUUAUUUGCUAGGGACUAGCAAUAAGCUGGUUGGGGGGUGUGUUGAGUGUUAGAAAAUGCAUAUUUAUAAAGGAGAAAACCGUCAUUUUACAUUUCAAGUCUUACUAACAACCCUUACUUUUAUGUAUUUAACCUUCUUGUGAUGUAAUUACGUGUGUGUUAUUUUAAUUAAGUAUUUUUUUUGUAUUUUAGGGGCAUUAUAGUCAUUUCACAAUAAAGGAGAGAUCAGACGGCAAAACGGACAUCACUUUUGAACUCAGGACGGUCGAAAACCUUAGGAGGAGCAUAAAAGGAAAAAUGGCACUAUUCACAUCAUAUCAGUGGACGAAAAAUCUCGCGUACGGUGCAUGCAUCACACAGGAUUAUUGUCAACCAAACCGCGUUACUGUUCAUCCAGGUCAAACCGUGUUACUGUUCAUCCGCGUGGUCAAACCGUGGACUGUUGACUGAUGACGUGGCGCAAUCCUGAGCGUCCGAACUGUUUUUAAUCCGAUGGCCAUGAUUUACUCCAUGUAUCUAUAAAAAGGGGGCCUCUCCCCCUAAUUUGAUAUCUCUGAAUCCAUUUUUGGGAUCCAUUUUCUGUAAUUCCUUCUCCAUCUUGUAUUUUCUUUGUAUUUUAAUAAAUUUCCAUUUUGCCCCUAGUUCAAUUAUGAGUAGCUAAUUUCCUUUCAAGCUUGGGUUGAAGGUGAAGUCUCAACAUGUGUCAUGGGCUUUAUUUGGUAAAUUUAUUUUCUUUUCCCCUCUAGUUUUUGUGGAUGAUUUGACUUAUCGUCGACAAAUAAUACUGAUCUUGUCUAGAUACCGCCUUGGUUACACCGGCUCUCUAGUAUAAGGUUAUUAUUAUUUGGCACGAUAAGCCCUUAGCACCAUAUUGAUUAGAGCGUGGUUCAUGAGGUGUGGAUUCCCCCCUCAUGAUUUAAUUGGCAUUAAUAUGGAUUAUUUAGCCCAUGAUGCAUGUUGAUACGGAUCCGGAUACCCAAGUACGUUAUUUCAAUAGAUUUCACUUCAAUUUAUUCUCGCCAUUGCAAUUCCAAUUUCAGAAUUUAUUCUCGCCAUUUUAAUUUAAGUUUUAGCAUAUUCCAAAUCAUUUCCACCACAAUUCCAACCACCCAUUUACAAAAUUAAUUCUACAUAUAAUUAAAAUCCACCUCCUCGUGGGAUCGACACUCGUCACCAUUGAUCUAUACUACAAUAGAUUCGUGCGCUUGCGAGUUCAUUAAAAUUUGCACAACAAAACACAAGCACUGUUGCCGGCUGCCG
This 6019-nucleotide long non-coding RNA is filed under the name Citrus maxima (pomelo). RNAcentral's name for it is "long non-coding RNA (CMAX_LNC002968)". Lineage: Eukaryota; Viridiplantae; Streptophyta; Magnoliopsida; Sapindales; Rutaceae. The record is from RNAcentral.